UAACACUUUUGAAACACCAGUUCCCGCACGAUCACAGAAGUUAAGCAACGUCGAACCUGGUCAGUACUUAGAUGGGUGAACGCUUGUGAAUAAUGGGUGCUAU
Molecule: non-coding RNA, 103 nt
Organism: Acanthosepion pharaonis
Lineage: Eukaryota; Metazoa; Mollusca; Cephalopoda; Sepiida; Sepiidae
Source: the annotation of a GenBank genome assembly